UACGUAGGGUGCGAGCGUUAAUCGGAAUUACUGGGCGUAAAGCGUGCGCAGGCGGUUCGUUAAGUUCGUUGUGAAAGCCCCGGGCUCAACCUGGGAAUGGCAAUGGAAACUGGCGGGCUGGAGUGUGGCAGAGGGGGGUGGAAUUCCGCGUGUAGCAGUGAAAUGCGUAGAGAUGCGGAGGAACACCGAUGGCGAAGGCAGCCCCCUGGGCCGACACUGACGCUCAGGCACGAAAGCGUGGGGAGCAAACAGG
RNAcentral lists this ribosomal RNA (253 nucleotides) under uncultured bacterium. RNAcentral describes it as "partial 16S ribosomal RNA". It matches the Rfam family "Bacterial small subunit ribosomal RNA", at positions 524 to 776 of the family's 1533-position model. The record is from RNAcentral.